RNAcentral lists this ribosomal RNA (759 nucleotides) under uncultured bacterium. RNAcentral's name for it is "bacterial SSU rRNA". It matches the Rfam family "Bacterial small subunit ribosomal RNA", at positions 28 to 777 of the family's 1533-position model. The record is from RNAcentral.
GAUGAACGCUAGCUACAGGCUUAACACAUGCAAGUCGAGGGGCAUCAGGAAGAAAGCUUGCUUUCUUUGCUGGCGACCGGCGCACGGGUGAGUAACACGUAUCCAACCUGCCCUUUACUCGGGGAUAGCCUUUCGAAAGAAAGAUUAAUACCCGAUGGCAUAAUGAUUCCGCGUGGUUUCAUUAUUAAAGGAUUCCGGUAAAGGAUGGGGAUGCGUUCCAUUAGGUUGUUGGUGAGGUAACGGCUCACCAAGCCUUCGAUGGAUAGGGGUUCUGAGAGGAAGGUCCCCCACAUUGGAACUGAGACACGGUCCAAACUCCUACGGGAGGCAGCAGUGAGGAAUAUUGGUCAAUGGGCGCUAGCCUGAACCAGCCAAGUAGCGUGAAGGAUGAAGGCUCUAUGGGUCGUAAACUUCUUUUAUAUAAGAAUAAAGUGCAGUAUGUAUACUGUUUUGUAUGUAUUAUAUGAAUAAGGAUCGGCUAACUCCGUGCCAGCAGCCGCGGUAAUACGGAGGAUCCGAGCGUUAUCCGGAUUUAUUGGGUUUAAAGGGAGCGUAGGUGGACUGGUAAGUCAGUUGUGAAAGUUUGCGGCUCAACCGUAAAAUUGCAGUUGAUACUGUCAGUCUUGAGUACAGUAGAGGUGGGCGGAAUUCGUGGUGUAGCGGUGAAAUGCUUAGAUAUCACGAAGAACUCCGAUUGCGAAGGCAGCUCACUGGACUGCAACUGACACUGAUGCUCGAAAGUGUGGGUAUCAAACCAGG